RNAcentral lists this ribosomal RNA (206 nucleotides) under uncultured bacterium. Its description in RNAcentral is "partial 16S ribosomal RNA". It matches the Rfam family "Bacterial small subunit ribosomal RNA", at positions 524 to 727 of the family's 1533-position model. The record is from RNAcentral.
UACGUAGGGUGCGAGCGUUAAUCGGAAUUACUGGGCGUAAAGCGUGCGUAGGCGGUUCGCUGUGUCCGAUGUGAAAGCCCCCGGGCUUAACCUCGAGAUGUCAUCGGAAACCAUCUGGCUAGAGUCCGGAAGAGGAAAGUGGAAUUCCUGGUGUAGCGGUGAAAUGCGCAGAUAUCAGGAAGAACACCAAUGGCGAAAAGCAGCUU